CACCAGUGGCGAAGGCGGGCUUUUUGGUCUGUAACUGACGCUGAGGCGCGAAANGCGUGGGGAGCAACAGGAUUUAGAUACCCUGGUAGUCCACGCCGUAAACGAUGAGUGUAAGUGUUAGAGGGUUUCCGCCCUUUAGUGCUGCAGCUAACGCAUUAAGCACUCCGCCUGGGGAGUACGGUCGCAAGACUGAAACUCAAAGGAAUUGACGGGGGCCGCACAAGCGGUGGAGCAUGUGGUUUAAUUCGAAGCAACGCGAAGAACCUUACCAGGUCUUGACAUCCUCUGACAACUCUAGAGAUAGAGCGUUCCCCUUCGGGGGACAGAGUGACAGGUGGUGCAUGGUUGUCGUCAGCUCGUGUCGUGAGAUGUUGGGUUAAGUCCCGCAACGAGCGCAACCCUUGAUCUUAGUUGCCAGCAUUUAGUUGGGCACUCUAAGGUGACUGCCGGUGACAAACCGGAGGAAGGUGGGGAUGACGUCAAAUCAUCAUGCCCCUUAUGACCUGGGCUACACACGUGCUACAAUGGAUGGUACAAAGGGCUGCAAGACCGCGAGGUCAAGCCAAUCCCAUAAAACCAUUCUCAGUUCGGAUUGUAGGCUGCAACUCGCCUACAUGAAGCUGGAAUCGCUAGUAAUCGCGG
Molecule: ribosomal RNA, 642 nt
Filed under: Priestia megaterium
Lineage: Bacteria; Bacillati; Bacillota; Bacilli; Caryophanales; Bacillaceae
Description: bacterial SSU rRNA
Rfam family: Bacterial small subunit ribosomal RNA
Source: RNAcentral